This is a long non-coding RNA of Oreochromis aureus, 830 nucleotides long. RefSeq lists it as uncharacterized. The transcript is spliced from 3 exons. NCBI's taxonomy places the organism in Eukaryota, Metazoa, Chordata, Actinopteri, Cichliformes, Cichlidae. The record is from RefSeq and is a predicted model, not a curated record.
UGCUAAUGUAAAUGUAACCUACGUUGUUGGAGAGAGAAAUAACAUCAUGGAAGAGACAUAAAAGCUGGCAAAAGCUGACGACUGUCCUUAAGCCAUUCAGGUUUGUGACUGAGCUUUUUGGAGGUGAGACAUGUGUCUCAUGUUCAGUGGUUUUACCUGCUUACUGCCACCUGCAUCACACCAUGGAGGUCUCCAAUGAUGACUCAGACUACAUGGUGAAAUUUAAGACUGCCUUUACAAAGAACCUAUCCCAACAUGUAGCUACACUCAACCAUCAGUGGCUCAAGAUAGCUACUGUGCUUGACCCACACUUUAAGAAUUUAAAGUGUCUUGCAAGGGGAGAGUGAGAAGAGGUUUGGACCAGCCUUGAGGUUGCUGCAGGAACAGUGUAAAGAUGCCACCACAAAGGAGCCAGCAAAGACAAAGAGCCUCCUCCUCUCUUCAUUGUCUUCAGACUCUGAUUCAGAUGAGGAAGCCCUGUGUAACAGGGCCCUGAGCAGAAUCCACCAUCAGCGAUAAAGACUGCCCACUGCAGUCUAAUACAAUUAUCAUUGUUGUUUGUCGAAUCCUAAUGGCAACUGUAGUGUGUAAUCAGGUAUAAACACUUUAUUUACAAGACAAAACAUCUGUUACAGGUCAUAACAGAGUUUAAAUGUGAAGCUGGUCAAAUAAGCUGGUCAAAUAACCUUUUAUGUUUCUGCCUUAGUUUUUUAAGAAGAAAACCUGCAAUUUAUGUUGAAAAUGUUAUUAUUAUUAUUAUUAUUAUUAUUAGAGACACUAACAUUUUGAAAAUGUACUUAAAGUGCUUAAAAUAGCAUUUUAUUUUUAAG